CACAUCUGUUCCAUGUGGACGGUCUAGGUACUAGGGAUACAGUGGUGUGAAAAAUCACCCUACGCAGAUCGUUCCUGCCUACAGGGAAUGAGGUAGGGGGAUGAAGACAGAGAGGUGAGAGGAUAAGGGGGUGGAGUUUAUGGGUAUGUUGAUAACAAGCAAAAAUAUGAACUCUACAAUGUUAGAGGGAGCAAACGCAAUGAAGAGCAAUGAGCAAGGGAAGGAGCUAGAGAGUGGUCAGGGAAAGCCUGUCUGGCCAUCAGUGCUUCCCAACUGAUUGGCUAUUUUUUUAGAAAGACAUUAAUAAAGGAUGUGCCAUAGAGCGGGUGGAGGACUCAGUGGGCAGAAGAGCCACUGAAGAAUCUACUAGAUACAGAAAAUGAUGGUCAUAGGUAAUGGUGGUCGUUCAUUAUUUUUGCAUACCGAUAUCCAAUUGUUCAAGUGUCACUUGUUGAAAAGACUACCAUUUUCCUACGGAGGAAAUAAUCCAAGUUUUAAAAAGUUCCACUUAGUGGUCAUUUCUAUGAACAAAAUGAAUAGUGCUGGAUAACAGAUGAGACUUACAUGAUUCAAAGGCAGUUACGUGAAGCCCUGGGGAAGAGCUUUCCAGGAGAGGCAACGGCAGGUGCACAAGCCCCGAGGUAAGAAAGGGAAAUGUCAAGACCAGAAGGCAGGCUGAUACGGAGGAAUCUUCCAGAAGAAGUCCAAAGGAUGAACUGAGACUGGACUUGAGGCAGGACCUUGUGAGCCCAGAUGGAGGUGGCAAUUGCCAAGUGGAGAAUAAGAAGAAGUGGAAAAAAAUGAAAAUAAGAAAGAUAAUAGGUGGAAGAGAGUCAGGCAGAGUGAAGGAAUCAAAGAGCGGCACAGGACCCUGAGAUCCGCCUAGCAUCCAUUAACAAGUAUUCACGGAGCACCGAUGUGUCAGGAACUGUCCUCCGCCCUGGGACCAUGCUGGGACAUGGACCGAGAAUAGUCACAUGUCUGUGGAGCUAGUGAGGGAGAGAGAUGCCAAAUAAUUAUGGAAAAGGUAUAUCUGCCAAGUAGAGGUUCCAUUACCAACUGGCUUCUGGUUAAGUUCAGCCAGUGGGCGGCACUGACACGUAUUUUUCCUGCCUCCUCCCUCCAGUCAACAAAAAGGUAUUUUCAAAAUGCCAUGCAGGUGGGCUAAACAAGCUCCUACAGCCCCUGGAGAAAGCCACCGAGAGGAAAAGCAAAGAACGAGGAGUUUUGGGGUGGGAAGCUGUCAGUGCUGCAGAUAAGCCAGCCAGCCAACUGCUUAUGAGGAUAAGGAGAAACUGGG
This 1300-nucleotide long non-coding RNA is filed under the name Homo sapiens (human). RNAcentral describes it as "HSALNT0269118". Lineage: Eukaryota; Metazoa; Chordata; Mammalia; Primates; Hominidae. The record is from RNAcentral.